GUAGACCCCGGGUAAGCGUGUAGACGGGUUCCGAUGAGAGUUGGAGCCUUAACGUCGAGACGCGAUGCCGAGCGAUAUACCGCGAAGUCACUGAUUCCAUGCUGCCAAGAAAAGCCCAGCAAUGAGUUGGCACAGUGCCCGUACCCCAUACCGACACAGGUGGGCGGGUAGAGAAUACCAAGGCGAGCGGGAGAACUAUGGUUAAGGAACUCGGCAAAUUACCUCCGUAACUUCGGAAGAAGGAGGACCCUUUUUGGUGAAAGCCUUUACGGCUCGAGCUGAGGAGGGUGGCACAGACAGGGGGUAGCGACUGUUUACCAAAAACACAGCAGCGUGCGAAGCCGCAAGGCGCUGUAUACGCUGUGACGCCUGCCCAAUGCUUGAAGGUCACGGGGAACGGUUAGCUCUUCGGAGCGAAGCUGUGAACCUAAGCCCAAGUGAAUGGCGGCCGUAACUAUAACGGUCCUAAGGUAGCGAAAUUCCUUGUCGGGUAAGUUCCGACCUGCACGAAUGGCGUAACGACUUCCCCACUGUCUCAACCAUAGACCCGGCGAAAUUGAAGUACGAGUAAAGAUGCUCGUUAGCUGCGGAAGGACGAAAAGACCCCGUGGACCUUUACUAUAACUUGGUGUUGAGUUUUGAAUUGCGUUGUGUAGGAUAGGUGGGAGACUUGGAAGCAUUGGCGCCAGCCAGUGUGGAGUCAAUGUUGAAAUACCACCCUGCGUACUUUGGAGCUCUAACCUCGGUCCGUUAUCCGGAUCAGGAACAGCGCCAGGCGGGUAGUUUGACUGGGGCGGUCGCCUCCUAAAGAGUAACGGAGGCGCCCAAAGGUUCCCUCAGGCUGGUUGGCAAUCAGCCGUCGAGUGCAAUGACACAAGGGAGCUUGACUGCGAGACCUACAAGUCGAGCAGGUACGAAAGUAGGGCAUAGUGACCCGGCCAUCACGUGUGGAAGUGUGGUCGCUCAACGGAUAAAAGGUACCCCGGGGAUAACAGGCUAAUCUUCCCCAAGAGUCCAUAUCGACGGGAAGGUUUGGCACCUCGAUGUCGGCUCAUCGCAUCCUGGGGCUGAAGCAGGUCCCAAGGGUUGGGCUGUUCGCCCAUUAAAGCGGUACGCGAGCUGGGUUCAGAACGUCGUGAGACAGUUCGGUCUCUAUCCUCCGCAGCCGAAGGAAUACUGACAACUGCUGUCCUUAGUACGAGAGGACCGGGACGGACGUAGCUCUGGUGUGUCUGUUGUCGCGCCAGCGGCAUCGCAGAUUUGCUACCUACGGAAGGGAUAACCGCUGAAAGCACCUAAGUGGGAAACACGGUUGAAGAUGAGUAUUCCCAUGCGGUUAACGCAGUAAGGCCCGUGACGAGACCAUCACGUUGAUAGCGAGUGUAG
Molecule: ribosomal RNA, 1386 nt
Filed under: metagenome
Description: bacterial LSU rRNA
Rfam family: Bacterial large subunit ribosomal RNA
Source: RNAcentral